CCUACGGAGGGCAGCAGUGGGGAAUAUUGGACAAUGGGCGAAAGCCUGAUCCAGCCAUGCCGCGUGUGUGAAGAAGGCCUUCGGGUUGUAAAGCACUUUCAGUGGGGAAGAAAGCCUUGGGGCUAAUACCCUCGAGGAAGGACAUCACCCACAGAAGAAGCACCGGCUAACUCCGUGCCAGCAGCCGCGGUAAUACGGAGGGUGCGAGCGUUAAUCGGAAUUACUGGGCGUAAAGCGCGCGUAGGCGGUCUGAUAAGCCGGUUGUGAAAGCCCCGGGCUCAACCUGGGAACGGCAUCCGGAACUGUCAGGCUAGAGUGCAGGAGAGGAAGGUAGAAGUCCCGGUGUAGCGGUGAAAUGCGUAGAGAUCGGGAGGAAUACCAGUGGCGAAGGCGGCCUUCUGGACUGACACUGACGCUGAGGUGCGAAAGCGUGGGUAGCAAACAGGAUUAGAUACCCCAGUAGUC
This 465-nucleotide ribosomal RNA is filed under the name Vreelandella stevensii. RNAcentral describes it as "partial 16S ribosomal RNA". It matches the Rfam family "Bacterial small subunit ribosomal RNA", at positions 338 to 795 of the family's 1533-position model. The record is from RNAcentral. Lineage: Bacteria; Pseudomonadati; Pseudomonadota; Gammaproteobacteria; Oceanospirillales; Halomonadaceae.